AUACGGAGGGGACAAGCGUUAUUCGGAAUCACUGGGCGUAAAGGACGCGUAGGCGGGUUAUUAAGUCGGGUGUGAAAUCCAAUGGCUCAACCAUUGAACUGCAUUCGAAACUGAUAACCUAGAGUAUGGAAGGGGCAGGUGGAAUUAGUGGUGUAGGGGUAAAAUCCGUAGAUAUCACUAGGAAUACCGAAAGCGAAGGCGACCUGCUGGGACAUUUCUGACGCUGAGGCGUGAAAGCGUGGGGAGCAAACAGGAUUAGAAACCCGAGUAGUCC
This 274-nucleotide ribosomal RNA is filed under the name uncultured bacterium. RNAcentral describes it as "partial 16S ribosomal RNA". It matches the Rfam family "Bacterial small subunit ribosomal RNA", at positions 523 to 796 of the family's 1533-position model. The record is from RNAcentral.